CCCUCGAGGUAGGAUCCGAUCACUCGGCGG
This 30-nucleotide small RNA is filed under the name Bombyx mori (domestic silkworm). Its description in RNAcentral is "ovarian small RNA-13731". Lineage: Eukaryota; Metazoa; Arthropoda; Insecta; Lepidoptera; Bombycidae. The record is from RNAcentral.